Molecule: ribosomal RNA, 494 nt
Filed under: uncultured bacterium
Lineage: Bacteria
Description: bacterial SSU rRNA
Rfam family: Bacterial small subunit ribosomal RNA
Source: RNAcentral
AAAGGAAUAGACGGGGGCCCGCACAAGCGGAGGAACAUGUGGUUUAAUUCGAUGAUACGCGAGGAACCUUACCCGGGCUUGAAAUGCAUCUGACCGGCCUUGAAAGAGGCUUUCCCUUCGGGGCAGAUGUGUAGGUGCUGCAUGGUUGUCGUCAGCUCGUGCCGUGAGGUGUCGGCUUAAGUGCCAUAACGAGCGCAACCCUCAUCAUUAGUUACCAUCAGGUCAAGCUGGGGACUCUAAUGAGACUGCCAUCGUAAGAUGUGAGGAAGGUGGGGAUGACGUCAAAUCAGCACGGCCCUUACGUCCGGGGCGACACACGUGUUACAAUGGGUGGUACAAAGGGCAGCUACAUGGCGACAUGAUGCUAAUCUCCAAAACCACUCUCAGUUCGGAUCGGAGUCUGCAACUCGACUCCGUGAAGCUGGAUUCGCUAGUAAUCGCGCAUCAGCCACGGCGCGGUGAAUACGUUCCCGGGCCUUGCACACACCGCCCGU